AACGUAGGUACCGAGCGUUAUCCGGAUUCACUGGGCGUAAAGCGCGUGCAGGUGGUUUGGUAAGUCGGGCAUGAAAGCUCUUGGCUCAACUGAGAGACGCUGUCCGAUACUGCCGGACUUGAGGGCAUAAGAGGGAGGUGGAAUUCCGCAUGUAGUGGUGAAAUGCGUAGAUAUGCGGAGGAACACCAGUGGCGAAGGCGGCCUCCUGGUAUGCUCCUGACACUCAGACGCGAAAGCUAGGGGAGCGAACGGG
RNAcentral lists this ribosomal RNA (253 nucleotides) under uncultured bacterium. RNAcentral describes it as "partial 16S ribosomal RNA". It matches the Rfam family "Bacterial small subunit ribosomal RNA", at positions 524 to 776 of the family's 1533-position model. The record is from RNAcentral.